Molecule: RNA transcript, 2801 nt
Organism: Haemorhous mexicanus (house finch)
Lineage: Eukaryota; Metazoa; Chordata; Aves; Passeriformes; Fringillidae
Gene: TSEN54
Gene name: tRNA splicing endonuclease subunit 54
Exons: 12
Source: RefSeq, a predicted model, not a curated record
UGUGGAAGGGGUGAUGCCGGCGGGCAGAACACAGCUCAGGGGUUACGGGUGCGAUCGAGCUGUUGGUAGCAGGAGGUGUUGGUCAGGGCAGUAAACCCCCCGCAGUUCACCUGCACACUCAGGGUCCGUGCUGGAGCAGCAGCAGUGCGACACAGCCUGACUGUCCCUGAAGGAGCACAGGGACAUGCUGGCACACCUGUGGCUUCAGAAAGUCCCUCACAGGGCUCUUGGUUUCCACAGGUGCGUGUAUAAUCCUGUAGCCUUUGCAGGUAGCAGCCACUGCCUUCUUGGCAUGAUCCAAGUUACAGAGUGUCUUGUUGAUGCUCCUGUGUGGCCUUCUGCAGAUUUGACCAGGUGUCAGUGCCCCUGAUAUAUCAGUCUUAGUGGUUUCAACAGUGCUGCCAGACUUUGGUGCUUAUCACUUGGGAGACAUUCACACCCACCUCUCAACACAAACCUUCUCUGCUUGGCCUGCAGGGACCUUAAAGAUCACCCCAUUGGACUCCCUGCCAUAGGCAAGGACACCUUCCACUAGACCAGAUUGCUCAGAGCUCCAUCCAGCCUGGCAGUGAAUGCUUACAGGAAUGUGGCAGCCACAGCUUCUCUGGGCAACCUCUGGGGAAUCUGGUGAAGGCUGAGUGGAAACCAGAGCAGGGCAUCGUGGAGCUGAAGUCCCCUGCGGGAAAGUUCUGGCACACCAUGGGGUUCUCAGAACGAGGCAAACAAUGUCUGCUGCCCGAGGAAGCUCUGUACCUGCUGGAGUGUGGCUCUGUCCAGCUCUUUUACAGAGAUGUGCCCCUGUCAAUCCAGGAAGCCUAUGAGACCCUGUUGUGCCAGGAGGCAAUGAGCCUGUCACAUUACCAGGUGUUCAGCCACUUGAAGCAACUGGGUUAUAUUGUACUGAGAUUCAACCCCAGCACUGUCCUGUCUUCCUACGAGAGGCAGCUGAACUUGGAAGGUCACUGCAAGAGCUCUGGGAAACACCAUCGCAAGAGGAGGAGAAGUUCCAGCCCCCGGUUGCAUGAGAAGAAACAUAAAGUAUAUGAGGACCUUCCAGAAGCUGAAGGGACCUCCAGCAAAGAUGGAGAUGACUAUGGAGACUCCAUUCCAGUGAAUGAAAAGCCCUUGUCAGUGCAGCCAAAGGAAUCAGAUGCUGACAGUGCAGAGGGGGAGUCAAUGCCAGUUCCUCUUGAUACAGGACAAAAGGACUCUCUGAGCUUCUCCAGCAGGCAGGCUGGAGGCCACAAGGAGAGCAGCACUGGCACCCAUGCACCCCGCUGGGAUUUUACCACCAUCACCUUUCCCAACAUGGCCUCAGACCAGCCAUGCACACAUCUGCCCUCCCCUGACAGCAGGCUCUUGCCAGAGAAUGUGCCAGGCAGGGAUGUGGAUGCAGCUUCCUGGUGCACACAGAUCAACCUGAAACAGGAGAAGCUGUCACGGAAGGAGAGGAGGCAGCAGGAGAGGGAGAGCAGGUACACUAGCAGUGUCAAUGCCGACCAGGAGGUGAGACGCUGCUCCAACUGGCAGGAGUACAAAGCCCUCUUGGAGCAGAGGAGACAGCAGAGGCUUUGGAAGAGACCUUCACACCUCUGGGACCAAGCUGUCACACCACUGCUGCGGCCAGAAGAAGUGACCUCGCCAGCUGCGCUCCUCGAGCAGAUUAGUGUGCUGCAGCCCUCCCACAUCCUGGAUGGAGCCUCCUGGCUGCAGGAGGACCCAGAGGCCAUGAAGAUAGACUUCAACGUGUAUCAAGCAGAUGCUGUGUCCAAGUUUAAGAAGACAAACCCUGGGAAGCCCCAUGUCAGGAUGUGUGUUCGGAGUUCCUCAUCCUUUGUUGGAGGCUGUGGUGACAGUUGUCCCCUCUUCCCCCUGCCCUUGCAUUCAACCCACACUGUUUGGCCAUCUGGUUGCUGCUCAUGUCUGAGUAUCACUGGGAGUCAGGAGACUCCCAGUGAUACUCAGAAAGAAGCCACAGCUUUUAUGCAAUGCUUGUGAAAUUCAGGUAGAACCCAGUGCUACGGGAGCUGAAUCCUCAGUCAGUGCAGAUCACUGUGGAAUUCUGCAGAGAUGAACCUCCCCAGAACUUGCUACAGGCUCUGAGCCAUAAGUUCAGUGUUUUGAUCUUUGUCAAGUGUAAUUUUCAAAUCACUAAGAACAGAGGGUAGGUGUCCCCUUUCUGCUGGAUCAAGAACUGAUACUAGAACUCCGUAGCUAGGUACAAAGUUCAGUUUCUGCCUUUUCUCAUUUUGCUUCAUUAAAACUGUCCCUCUGCUCUCUGCAGCUGUAGUAGACAGGGCAAGGAAGGUGGUAAUGCAGUUUUACCAAGGUAUGUCAUGAGCCAGUAGAAUGAUCCUUGUUGCCUAAAUAUUUUCAAUGAUGAGCAAACAGACUCUGCAGAAUUAGAAGGAGGGAAAAGCAGGUCAGAUGUUGCUCCCAGCAACCUAAAGAUCUUCCCAGCACAAAGGCAUUAAGAUUGCAGUGGAUUGACCAUUUGCCAGUAUCCCUGUGAGCUACAUCUAAUGAGCACAGUGUGGAGCAGUGUUAAGUUAUCUUUGUUUUUGGCAAAGGAUUCAACAGCUCCCAGUUCCAGGCAUGCUGGGUACUCUCAGGGCUGGCAGGACUGCAGCUUUGAUGAGCAGAUCCCCUCCCUGCGGGCUUUGAAGCGGGUGACGUAUUUGAGUGGGGACGUCCCUCUGGUCUUUGCACUGGUGGAUCAUGGAGAAAUUACCUUCUAUUCACUGAAGGAGUUCAAGCUGCCCAUUGAUGUUUAUCACUGAAGUUCCUGUCACUUGCAGAAA